AUGGAUGGCAAUAAUAAUCAUGCAAUGUUAUGGCAUAAGAUUGUAGGUCACAUCGCACCGUCUAGCUGUAUUGAGCUUAUCCGCUCCACCAUCUUCACCAUAUGGUUGUUAUUUUUUUCAACUGGCUGGUCAAGUGUGUGGGGAAAAAAAUCUAAAGAGACUUCCUGUGGAAUGUCUAGGACAAGGCCCCGGAUGCCAAUACCUUGUCCCUUGGAUUGGCGUGUGCAAGUUGAAGACCUACAAAGGGCGGGAUCACCGACCUUCAAUGGCAAGGUAAAGCUCUCGAUAUCGGUUCAAUCUGACUCCCUUGGAAUGAUGUUUCCAAGCCCUCCCCUAAAUUUCUAUAAUCCUCAUAAGAUCCUCUUUUGA
RNAcentral lists this ribosomal RNA (369 nucleotides) under Triticum aestivum (bread wheat). RNAcentral's name for it is "partial small subunit ribosomal RNA". Lineage: Eukaryota; Viridiplantae; Streptophyta; Magnoliopsida; Poales; Poaceae. The record is from RNAcentral.